RNAcentral lists this ribosomal RNA (504 nucleotides) under uncultured bacterium. RNAcentral's name for it is "bacterial SSU rRNA". It matches the Rfam family "Bacterial small subunit ribosomal RNA", at positions 8 to 526 of the family's 1533-position model. The record is from RNAcentral.
AGAGUUUGAUCAUGGCUCAGAAUCAACGCUGGCGGCGUGCCUAACACAUGCAAGUCGAACGAGAAAGCGGGGGCAACUCCGCGAGUACAGUGGCGAACGGGUGAGUAACACGUGACUAACCUGCCUUCGAGUGGGGGAUAACCCCGGGAAACCGGGGCUAAUACCGCAUAACAUCGCGAGGUGAAAUUCCUUGUGAUCAAAUGCGCAAGUAGCUUGAAGAGGGGGUCGCGGCUGAUUAGCUAGUUGGUGAGGUAACGGCUCACCAAGGCGAUGAUCAGUAGCCGGCCUGAGAGGGCGCACGGCCACACUGGAACUGAAACACGGUCCAGACUCCUACGGGAGGCAGCAGUGGGGAAUUUUGCGCAAUGGGGGAAACCCUGACGCAGCAACGCCGCGUGGAGGAUGAAGUCCCUUGGGACGUAAACUCCUUUCGACCGGGACGAAUAUUGACGGUACCGGUGGAAGAAGCCCCGGCUAACUUCGUGCCAGCCGCCGCGGUAAUAC